CCUACGGGAGGCAGCAGUGAGGAAUAUUGGUCAAGGGACGAGAGUCUGAACCAGCCAAGUAGCGUGAAGGAGGACUGCCCUAUGGGUUGUAAACUUCUUUUAUAAAGGAAUAAAACGAGGCACGUGUGCCUUUUUGCAUGUACUUUAUGAAUAAGGAUCGGCUAACUCCGUGCCAGCAGCCGCGGUAAUACGGAGGAUCCGAGCGUUAUCCGGAUUUAUUGGGUUUAAAGGGAGCGUAGAUGGGUUGUUAAGUCAGUUGUGAACGUUUGCGGCUCAACCGUAAAAUUGCAAUUGAUACUGGCAGUCUUGAGUACAGUUGAGGUAGGCGGAAUUCGUGUUGUAGCGGUG
This 348-nucleotide ribosomal RNA is filed under the name uncultured bacterium. RNAcentral describes it as "partial 16S ribosomal RNA". It matches the Rfam family "Bacterial small subunit ribosomal RNA", at positions 338 to 683 of the family's 1533-position model. The record is from RNAcentral.